This 301-nucleotide ribosomal RNA is filed under the name uncultured bacterium. Its description in RNAcentral is "partial 16S ribosomal RNA". It matches the Rfam family "Bacterial small subunit ribosomal RNA", at positions 509 to 809 of the family's 1533-position model. The record is from RNAcentral.
CAGUAGCCGCGGUAAUACGAAGGGUGCAAGCGUUAAUCGGAAUUACUGGGCGUAAAGUGUGCGUAGGCGGUGAGUUAAGUCUGCUGUGAAAUCCCCGGGCUCAACCUGGGAACUGCGCUUGUGACUGCACAGCUAGAGUAUGGCAGAGGGGGGUGGAAUUCCACGUGUAGCAGUGAAAUGCGUAGAGAUGUGGAGGAACACCGAUGGCGAAGGCAGCCCCCUGGGCCAAUACUGACGCUCAUGCACGAAAGCGUGGGGAGCAAACAGGAUUAGAGACCCCCGUAGUCCCUGUCUCUUAUAA